CAUCCCAGAUAGCAGCUGAUUCCGGGGCGGAUCCGCCCUCAGGUCGCUAGAUCCGCCCUCAGGUCGCCAGGUCGCUAGAUCCGCCCGCAGGUCGCUAGAUCCGCCCUACUGCCGCACUCGGUUUGGUCAUGUGAACCGGAUCCACCCGCAUCUGCAUCCGGUUCACACAGCGGCGGUUGUUCUAAAUCGUUGCUCCUCUGACUUCUGCGCCUCGACUUUCCAAACUGGAAUUUUCAAACCUGCAGCUCUUCGCGCCAGACAUAUUACUUAGUUUUACAGAAGUGUUCAUCAGGAUCGAUCUCUACAAUUCAGCAAAACAGUAGCAGUCGUGCCACAAAGCUGGUACAGUGGUGGUGGCUGCGUUUGGCCAGAUUACCCGAGGGAUGAAAGGGUGGACAAGGCGGUCCGAAGUGCCGAAGAACCUGAACCUGACUGGCAGACACAUUAUGUCAGAAUAAUUAGAUCAUGCGAUGAUUACUUGGUGGCAAGGCGAUGGUUAACAAAAUAUAUGUCCUGUGACACAUCUGAUCUCCAUUCAGAAGAGGAGGCAAUUCCUUAAAGGAGAAAGCCAAUGCCUGUCCAUUUCUUUGGUGACUCGGAUGCAGACAGCGAGACUGAAAAUCGCCACCCCAAAAAAAAAAAGGGUCCAACCACUAGCAGGACAGUUGCCCCUCCUCCAACUAUUGUCCCAUCUCCUCCACAGACUUCAUCACCAGCAGGACAGCGAACAAGCCAUGCAGGGUACACACCAACCUGGCGAGCGGCGAGGUGUGGUUCGAACACCAUUGCCUGCUGUGCUCAAAGAUCCAGCCAACGCUAUAAUGAAGGAGAGUGAUUUCCUCCCUGGGAACAAUCGGAGGACAUGAUGUAAAACGUGCAACGUGGAACAUCCUCGCACGCAUGUUCACUGAUGAUGUUGGCAAGUCCAUAAAUUGGAAAGGGAUUCAUGGAAAAAAAUCUUUCAAUCUAAUGACGUCCAAGACUUUGCUCCUGCGUGAAUGUUACUCAACUAUACCUUUACAUAAUAGUUAUAUGAUAUAUUAGCUCUAUGGAGUGGAGAUGGUCAGCUGCUUCAGGUUCCUCGGGGUCAACAUCAGCAAUGACCUCACCUGGUCUGCUCA
Long non-coding RNA from Pseudoliparis swirei, 1121 nucleotides. RefSeq lists it as uncharacterized. The record is from RefSeq and is a predicted model, not a curated record. The transcript is spliced from 8 exons. Lineage: Eukaryota; Metazoa; Chordata; Actinopteri; Perciformes; Liparidae.